AGAGAGUACAAAUACUGACUUAUGACUUUUCUAUUUGAUGCAGUCAAUAGCUCUUACUUGAGAUUUGCAGUAUACUGUGUGAUUUAUUGCUUAAUAAUUAUCUUUAAGGAUUGCUUUAAAUUUUGUGAGUUUAUGCAUGCAGCAUAGAGAUCUUAAUAGUGUUGAAGAUUUUUUGGAUAGUUAUUUGAGUGGGAUAAGAACUGCCUAUGGAGGCAUUGAGAUUAUUAAAGAAGGAAGCUGAGGGCUGCAUUGUGCUGAUAUUUUCUGCAUUGGAUUUUGGUUAUCUUGUGGAGAUCCUUAAUCAUUUAAUACAGAUAUGAUUCGUCGUCUAGCAGACAUGGCAAAUACUCAAUUUAUAACAACAACAUUUCGGCCAGAGCUUGUGAAAGUGGCUGACAAAAUAUAUGGUGUGACACACAAAAACAGAGUGAGCCGAGUCAAUGUUGUCGCCAAAGAAGACGCCUUAGAUUUUAUUGAGCAUGAUCAGUCUCACAAUACACCUUAGUUUAAGGAGAUAAAUUUGGAUGAUGCAUUUGUUAGUUAUGUGUAAGAAUGAUGGGGUGAAGCAUUGUGUUGAGUUGGUUGGUUCUUGUGUUUUAUAUUUAUAGGUUAACUAGAGGAAUGACAGGGCUGUAUAUGUUUUACCUGAUUUCUAGUAUUUUCUUACAAGCCGUAUUAACCUUUUAGUGACGAUUAGAAGGAUUUGGAUCUUUUUAUUUAAUGUAUUCAUAUAAUUUUGUGUGGACUUGAUUGGUACAAAUAAAUAAAUAAUAGAUGAAUGCUAAGGAUUUUA
Pistacia vera is the source of this 793-nucleotide long non-coding RNA. RefSeq lists it as uncharacterized. Lineage: Eukaryota; Viridiplantae; Streptophyta; Magnoliopsida; Sapindales; Anacardiaceae. The transcript has 2 exons. The record is from RefSeq and is a predicted model, not a curated record.